UUUCCGUAGGUGAACCUGCGGAAGGAUCAUUGUCGAAACGUUGAGAGAACGAAGCGAAUUGGUGAUCAACUCGUAGUGGGGGCGUGAGGGUCCGGCCGUUGUCGGUAGCCCUCCGCCACCGCAAGCGUGUCUUUCCCAUCUUCCCGCUGCGUGCAGCGGGCAAGGUUGGUCUGCACGAAACUCAACGAACCCUCGACGCGGGCCGCGUCAAGGACUAUGGAAACACGAUAACGGGGCGUGGUCCCAGCUUGGUCUCGCCUCCGCGCGAUGCGCAUGCUGCUCCACGUCCCCAUCGGAACAAAUAACAUGACUCUCGACAACGGAUAUCUAGGCUCUCGCAUCGAUGAAGAACGUAGCGAAAUGCGAUACUUGGUGUGAAUUGCAGAAUCCCGUGAACCAUCGAGUCUUUGAACGCAAGUUGCGCCCGGAGCCGUCAGGCCGAGGGCACGCCUGCCUGGGCGUCGCAUGUGCCUUCGCUCCACCACGCCCAUUUUCUUUGGACGCGUGGUCCGGGAGUUGGAAUUUGGCCGUCCGUGUGUGGAAUCACGGUUGGCUCGAUGUUUGUAUGCUGCGAUGCGUGCGCAUCACGACGGGUGGUGAUCGUUCCGAAUGCCCGUGUACGUCGUGGUCGCCGCGCGGCUCAUCACUUCAUCGCCCAACGGGGUAGCAUGUUCUUGUGCUCUCCCAACCGUACGGACCCCAGGUCAGGCGAGGCCACCCGCUGAGUUUAA
This 731-nucleotide ribosomal RNA is filed under the name Najas chinensis. RNAcentral describes it as "eukaryotic LSU rRNA". The stretch from base 309 to 464 matches the Rfam family "5.8S ribosomal RNA". The record is from RNAcentral. Lineage: Eukaryota; Viridiplantae; Streptophyta; Magnoliopsida; Alismatales; Hydrocharitaceae.